This 446-nucleotide ribosomal RNA is filed under the name uncultured bacterium. Its description in RNAcentral is "partial 16S ribosomal RNA". It matches the Rfam family "Bacterial small subunit ribosomal RNA", at positions 338 to 795 of the family's 1533-position model. The record is from RNAcentral.
CCUACGGGGGGCAGCAGUCGAGAAUCAUUCACAAUGGGGGAAACCCUGAUGGUGCGACGCCGCGUGGGGGAAUGAAGGUCUUCGGAUUGUAAACCCCUGUCAUGUGGGAGCAAAUUAAAAAGAUAGUACCACAAGAGGAAGAGACGGCUAACUCUGUGCCAGCAGCCGCGGUAAUACAGAGGUCUCAAGCGUUGUUCGGAAUCACGGGGCGUAAAGCGUGCGUAGGCUGUUGCGUAAGUCGUGUGUGAAAGGCGCGGGCUCAACCCGCGGACGGCACAUGAUACUGCGAGACUAGAGUAAGGGAGGGGGAACCGGAAUUCUCGGUGUAGCAGUGAAAUGCGUAGAUAUCGAGAGGAACACUCGUGGCGAAGGCGGGUUCCUGGACAUUAACUGACGCUGAGGCACGAAGGCCAGGGGAGCGAAAGGGAUUAGAUACCCCAGUAGUC